Molecule: non-coding RNA, 533 nt
Organism: Paramuricea clavata
Lineage: Eukaryota; Metazoa; Cnidaria; Anthozoa; Malacalcyonacea; Plexauridae
Source: the annotation of a GenBank genome assembly
GGCUCCUAAGAAGAAGAGUAAAUCCGCAAGGCCUCUAGCUGUCCUUAGUUCCUUUAUUUGGUCUGUGUUCAACUAUAUCUGUCAAUUGUUCGAUUUGGACGAGGCAGAUCCCAUUUGUACGGGGCAGUAUGACAUUAAAAGAAUCUCUGAAAGUAUGUAUUUUUUUUAAAUAUUAAACAAUGUUGAAACGGGUCGGAAAUUAUUAAAUUAAAACUAUCAGCAGUCUAAAUUGACUAAAUUGUGAAUUGGUAUUCGCUUUAUCUUUAUUAAAUCUUUAAUCUGAUGCUCCUAAGGUUUCCUAAAUCAGCUUACACUAUGCAGUUUAUUUUGAUAGCUUACUUUUUAUCCCACACAAACAUUUGGAAAUUUGAAAAAGUCGAAAUUUUACAAAUAUCAUGCGUAUAUGAACAGACAACGGCAAAAUCUUACCUAUUUGUUAAAUAAACACUUCUCUCGUUUAUAGAGCUAGACCAACUUGAAGCUAGGCUCAGGCUCAAUAGUUUCUUUGGCAAAAGCAGUUAUUCAGGAAUUCA